Molecule: unclassified non-coding RNA, 1262 nt
Filed under: Hevea brasiliensis (rubber tree)
Lineage: Eukaryota; Viridiplantae; Streptophyta; Magnoliopsida; Malpighiales; Euphorbiaceae
Source: RNAcentral
AAAAAACCCCUCCUACUCCACUCCUCACUCUGCAAGGAACAAUGGCGGACCGUGAUCGAACUCGAGACAGAGACCGAGACCGAGACCGAGACCGCGAACGUGAACGGGAUCGUGAGCGUGACCGAGAAAGGGACAAGGAUAGAGACAGAGAUCGGAAACGAGACCGGGAAGACCGUGAUCGGAGAGACCGUGAACAUUCUUAUACCCCUGAUCAUACCAGAACUACUCGGCAUACUCGCUCCCGUACUCGUUCCCCUUCCACCGACCGUCACCGCCACCGCCACCGUUCUACCUCGCGUUCCCGUUCUCCUACUGACCGUCGCCACCGUCACCACCGCCGCAGGAGUCCCUCAGCUGAAAGUCCUCCAAGAAAAAGGCAUAAAGAUGAUGGUGAACGGGAUAAGGAAAGGGAUAGGGACAGGGACAGACGCAGAGAAGUUUCGGAUUUUGUGGAUGGGAUAGCCAAAGAACAACAGAAACAGAAGAAAAAGAACAAGGACAAGGAGAAUGUGAGUGGGAGUGGGGGUGUUGGUGAAGGAGGAGAAGAGAUGAUGGAUGAAGAUGAGAUUGAGAUGAUGAAGAAAUUUGGGAUACCAGUAGGGUUUGAUUCUACAAAAGGAAAACCAGUGGCAGGAAAUGAUGUAGGUGCUGUAAGAAAAGUCACCAAACGCCAGCCUCGACAGUACAUGAAUAGGCGUGGUGGGUUCAAUAGGCCCUUGCCUGCUGAGUGCAACCGCUGAGCUUUCCAGGUGGAAAUGCAGUUUCUGCCAGGCUUCUUAUAUGAGUCUGUCCCUUUGUCCAAGUAAUGGAGACAAUGUAAGAUAUUUUUAAUUGUCUGUCUAGGUUGUAAUGUGCUAUAUUCUCAGAACUCCAUGAUAAUAGUACUCCAAUAGUUUCACAGUUUGCUGCAGACUGCAGACGCAGUAACAGAUGCACCAUUAAUUCAGGGUCCUGCCAAAUGGUUAGCUGGUUAAUCAAGUGCCCCUCCCUCCCUUUAAAGCAGCCAUUCUUGAACACCAUAUGUUAUCUCAUUGAGGUUACUGAUGUGAACAUGCAUUUGGUUCUCAGAUCUCUCCUCAAAAAGGCAUGUCUUCAUAAAUCAGCUUACAUUUGGAUUUGGCUAUACUGUUGCUCGCUAUGCGCACUCAAGUCUUGUAUUGAUCACUUUCUGAUACCUUUUAUGAUAUUUGUCCCCUUGGUUUAAAUGGUGUGGAAUCUGUCAAUUUGAUUCUUUAUGUUACAGAGUCGUACCCAGUUUGGGG